GUUUGAAAGAAAACUGCUGUGGAAAACUCGGCCGGAAGCAAGUAUCAAGUGAAUCCACUACAUCACCACAAACGUCUUUUCAAGCCAGAGAGUGGAUGGGGAGGAAGACUGGAUAGGAAGAAGAGUGAUGGAGACAGAGGAGGAAAGAUCCACUGACUGAACUUUGUCUGGACUUUGUCCAUGGAAACUUGACCGUAUUCAGUGACACGAUCAAGAUGCUUGAAGGCCAGGACCACUGCGCUGUGGAGUCAGCUGCAAUUCUGAGAAACGUUGAGGCAAAAUUGACUGCAAGACGUGAUGACAACUUCAUUCCAGUUUUGGUCAGAGGACUUCUGAGAGAGCUGGAGGACAAUGGAGACAUGUCUAAAGAGAGCUUUCUCAAAACAUCCCAAUCAUUCUUCACUAUGGCUGUGAACUACUUGCAAGCAUGGGGAAAGCACACAGAUAAUCUAAAAUAUUUACAUUGUCUCCUUUUAAAAAGGCAACCUCAGCAUGAAGAGAUCCAGAAGGCAGCAGGCACACUGCAGGGAAAAUGCCCCAAUGUGACCAUCAAUGAGGAUGCAUUGUUUGACGAGGUUACUGGCCUGCAAGAGUUCCUAAAGGGGAGAUCGCUUGAAGAAUGGAAAACAUCUGAGACACUGCUUAGUCAGAGAUGCAGCACGGUGGUUACCCACUUCAAAGAGAAUGACAUCCCUAACCUGGCUAGAUUAGCAUCUGUUGUCAUGUGCUUACCUGGAAGUAAUGCACCAGUCGAGAGAGUGUUCUCCCAAAUGAAUGAAAUAUGGACAGCAGCAAGAAAUAGGUUCACCGUUCCUACCAUCAAGGCCAUGCUUAUUGUGAAGACAAACUUCAACCUCCCCUGCCAGGAUUUCAUGGAGAAGCUGGCCAAAGACACAUUCUUCUGAGAAAUAUACAGUUUAGGAUGGUAUAAGUGGUAACUACAUAAUAUAAUCUCAUCAUCGUCUUAUUUCUUUAUGGUGUUAAGUAUUUCACAUAGACUAUUGUCUGUUUUUUCAAUUUUGCUCAUGUUCUCUUCUGCUCCUUAUUGUACCCAGACUAGCAGGACCACUGAUUGGCUGUUCAGAUCAGUUCUACCCAGACUAGCAGGACCACUGAAUGGCUGUUCAGAUCUGUUCUACCCAGACUAGCAGGACCACUGAUUGGCUAUUCAGAUCAGUUCUACCCAGACUAGCAGGACCACUGAAUGGCUGUUCAGAUCAGUUCUACCCAGACUAGCAGGACCACUGAUUGGCUGUUCAGAUCAGUUCUACCCAGACUAGCAGGACCACUGAUUGGCUGUUCAGAUCAGUUCUACCCAGAC
Long non-coding RNA from Oncorhynchus masou masou (cherry salmon), 1321 nucleotides. RefSeq lists it as uncharacterized. The record is from RefSeq and is a predicted model, not a curated record. The transcript has 3 exons. Lineage: Eukaryota; Metazoa; Chordata; Actinopteri; Salmoniformes; Salmonidae.